This 2772-nucleotide ribosomal RNA is filed under the name Escherichia coli. RNAcentral's name for it is "bacterial LSU rRNA". It matches the Rfam family "Bacterial large subunit ribosomal RNA". Lineage: Bacteria; Pseudomonadati; Pseudomonadota; Gammaproteobacteria; Enterobacterales; Enterobacteriaceae. The record is from RNAcentral.
AGCGUACACGGUGGAUGCCCUGGCAGUCAGAGGCGAUGAAGGACGUGCUAAUCUGCGAUAAGCGUCGGUAAGGUGAUAUGAACCGUUAUAACCGGCGAUUUCCGAAUGGGGAAACCCAGUGUGAUUCGUCACACUAUCAUUAACUGAAUCCAUAGGUUAAUGAGGCGAACCGGGGGAACUGAAACAUCUAAGUACCCCGAGGAAAAGAAAUCAACCGAGAUUCCCCCAGUAGCGGCGAGCGAACGGGGAGCAGCCCAGAGCCUGAAUCAGUAUGUGUGUUAGUGGAAGCGUCUGGAAAGGCGCGCGAUACAGGGUGACAGCCCCGUACACAAAAAUGCACAUGCUGUGAGCUCGAUGAGUAGGGCGGGACACGUGGUAUCCUGUCUGAAUAUGGGGGGACCAUCCUCCAAGGCUAAAUACUCCUGACUGACCGAUAGUGAACCAGUACCGUGAGGGAAAGGCGAAAAGAACCCCGGCGAGGGGAGUGAAAAAGAACCUGAAACCGUGUACGUACAAGCAGUGGGAGCACGCUUAGGCGUGUGACUGCGUACCUUUUGUAUAAUGGGUCAGCGACUUAUAUUCUGUAGCAAGGUUAACCGAAUAGGGGAGCCGAAGGGAAACCGAGUCUUAACUGGGCGUUAAGUUGCAGGGUAUAGACCCGAAACCCGGUGAUCUAGCCAUGGGCAGGUUGAAGGUUGGGUAACACUAACUGGAGGACCGAACCGACUAAUGUUGAAAAAUUAGCGGAUGACUUGUGGCUGGGGGUGAAAGGCCAAUCAAACCGGGAGAUAGCUGGUUCUCCCCGAAAGCUAUUUAGGUAGCGCCUCGUGAAUUCAUCUCCGGGGGUAGAGCACUGUUUCGGCAAGGGGGUCAUCCCGACUUACCAACCCGAUGCAAACUGCGAAUACCGGAGAAUGUUAUCACGGGAGACACACGGCGGGUGCUAACGUCCGUCGUGAAGAGGGAAACAACCCAGACCGCCAGCUAAGGUCCCAAAGUCAUGGUUAAGUGGGAAACGAUGUGGGAAGGCCCAGACAGCCAGGAUGUUGGCUUAGAAGCAGCCAUCAUUUAAAGAAAGCGUAAUAGCUCACUGGUCGAGUCGGCCUGCGCGGAAGAUGUAACGGGGCUAAACCAUGCACCGAAGCUGCGGCAGCGACACUAUGUGUUGUUGGGUAGGGGAGCGUUCUGUAAGCCUGUGAAGGUGUGCUGUGAGGUAUGCUGGAGGUAUCAGAAGUGCGAAUGCUGACAUAAGUAACGAUAAAGCGGGUGAAAAGCCCGCUCGCCGGAAGACCAAGGGUUCCUGUCCAACGUUAAUCGGGGCAGGGUGAGUCGACCCCUAAGGCGAGGCCGAAAGGCGUAGUCGAUGGGAAACAGGUUAAUAUUCCUGUACUUGGUGUUACUGCGAAGGGGGGACGGAGAAGGCUAUGUUGGCCGGGCGACGGUUGUCCCGGUUUAAGCGUGUAGGCUGGUUUUCCAGGCAAAUCCGGAAAAUCAAGGCUGAGGCGUGAUGACGAGGCACUACGGUGCUGAAGCAACAAAUGCCCUGCUUCCAGGAAAAGCCUCUAAGCAUCAGGUAACAUCAAAUCGUACCCCAAACCGACACAGGUGGUCAGGUAGAGAAUACCAAGGCGCUUGAGAGAACUCGGGUGAAGGAACUAGGCAAAAUGGUGCCGUAACUUCGGGAGAAGGCACGCUGAUAUGUAGGUGAAGUCCCUCGCGGAUGGAGCUGAAAUCAGUCGAAGAUACCAGCUGGCUGCAACUGUUUAUUAAAAACACAGCACUGUGCAAACACGAAAGUGGACGUAUACGGUGUGACGCCUGCCCGGUGCCGGAAGGUUAAUUGAUGGGGUCAGCGCAAGCGAAGCUCUUGAUCGAAGCCCCGGUAAACGGCGGCCGUAACUAUAACGGUCCUAAGGUAGCGAAAUUCCUUGUCGGGUAAGUUCCGACCUGCACGAAUGGCGUAAUGAUGGCCAGGCUGUCUCCACCCGAGACUCAGUGAAAUUGAACUCGCUGUGAAGAUGCAGUGUACCCGCGGCAAGACGGAAAGACCCCGUGAACCUUUACUAUAGCUUGACACUGAACAUUGAGCCUUGAUGUGUAGGAUAGGUGGGAGGCUUUGAAGUGUGGACGCCAGUCUGCAUGGAGCCGACCUUGAAAUACCACCCUUUAAUGUUUGAUGUUCUAACGUUGACCCGUAAUCCGGGUUGCGGACAGUGUCUGGUGGGUAGUUUGACUGGGGCGGUCUCCUCCUAAAGAGUAACGGAGGAGCACGAAGGUUGGCUAAUCCUGGUCGGACAUCAGGAGGUUAGUGCAAUGGCAUAAGCCAGCUUGACUGCGAGCGUGACGGCGCGAGCAGGUGCGAAAGCAGGUCAUAGUGAUCCGGUGGUUCUGAAUGGAAGGGCCAUCGCUCAACGGAUAAAAGGUACUCCGGGGAUAACAGGCUGAUACCGCCCAAGAGUUCAUAUCGACGGCGGUGUUUGGCACCUCGAUGUCGGCUCAUCACAUCCUGGGGCUGAAGUAGGUCCCAAGGGUAUGGCUGUUCGCCAUUUAAAGUGGUACGCGAGCUGGGUUUAGAACGUCGUGAGACAGUUCGGUCCCUAUCUGCCGUGGGCGCUGGAGAACUGAGGGGGGCUGCUCCUAGUACGAGAGGACCGGAGUGGACGCAUCACUGGUGUUCGGGUUGUCAUGCCAAUGGCACUGCCCGGUAGCUAAAUGCGGAAGAGAUAAGUGCUGAAAGCAUCUAAGCACGAAACUUGCCCCGAGAUGAGUUCU